UACGAAGGGGGCUAGCGUUGCUCGGAAUCACUGGGCGUAAAGCGCACGUAGGCGGAUUGCUAAGUCAGGGGUGAAAUCCUGGAGCCCAACUCCAGAACUGCCCUUGAUACUGGCGGUCUCGAGUCCGGGAGAGGUGAGUGGAACUGCGAGUGUAGAGGUGAAAUGCGUAGAGAUCUGCAAGAAUACCCGUGGCGAAGGCGGCCAACUGGGCCGGUUCUGACGCUGAGGCGCGAAAGCGUGGGGAGCAAACAGG
Molecule: ribosomal RNA, 253 nt
Filed under: uncultured bacterium
Lineage: Bacteria
Description: partial 16S ribosomal RNA
Rfam family: Bacterial small subunit ribosomal RNA
Source: RNAcentral